CGGACAUGAAGUGGCGAACGGGUGAGUAACACGUGACCAACCUGCCCCUUGCUCCGGGACAACCUUGGGAAACUGAGGCUAAUACCGGAUACUCCUCGCCCCCCUCCCUGGGGGGCCCGGGAAAGCCCAGACGGCAAGGGAUGGGGUCGCGGCCCAUUAGGUAGUAGGCGGGGUAACGGCCCACCUAGCCCGCGAUGGGUAGCCGGGUUGAGAGACCGACCGGCCACAUUGGGACUGAGAUACGGCCCAGACUCCUACGGGAGGCAGCAUG
Molecule: ribosomal RNA, 271 nt
Filed under: uncultured bacterium
Lineage: Bacteria
Description: partial 16S ribosomal RNA
Rfam family: Bacterial small subunit ribosomal RNA
Source: RNAcentral